CCUACGGGAGGCAGCAGUGGGGAAUAUUGCGCAAUGGGCGAAAGCCUGACGCAGCGACGCCGCGUGAGGGAUGAAGGUCUUCGGAUCGUAAACCUCUGUCAGCAGGGAAGAACGGUCACUGUGCUAAUCAGCAGUGAAUUGACGGUACCUGCAAAGGAAGCACCGGCUAACUCCGUGCCAGCAGCCGCGGUAAUACGGAGGGUGCGAGCGUUAAUCGGAAUUACUGGGCGGAAAGCGCUCGUAGGCGGUAUGUCAAGUCAAGGGUGAAAGCCCCGCGCCCAACGUGGGAACUGCAUUUGAGACUGGCAAACUGGAGUGUGUGAGAGGAUAGUGGAAUUCCAGGUGUAGGAGUGAAAUCCGUAGAUAUCUGGAGGAACAUCAGUGGCGAAGGCGACUAUCUGGCACAUAACUGACGCUGAGGAGCGAAAGCGUGGGUAGCAAACAGGAUUAGAUACCCGAGUAGUC
Molecule: ribosomal RNA, 465 nt
Filed under: uncultured bacterium
Lineage: Bacteria
Description: partial 16S ribosomal RNA
Rfam family: Bacterial small subunit ribosomal RNA
Source: RNAcentral